RNA transcript from Thunnus maccoyii (southern bluefin tuna), 7385 nucleotides. RefSeq lists it as uncharacterized. The record is from RefSeq and is a predicted model, not a curated record. Lineage: Eukaryota; Metazoa; Chordata; Actinopteri; Scombriformes; Scombridae. The transcript has 3 exons.
AACCCAAUUUAUGUCUUAGAUCUAAAGAAAAGAUAGCCCUGUUGAACAUCAUUUUGUUACAAUAUGUUUUUAUUACAUAUUUUAUCUGUUUCAGGUUUGUAGUGCCUUAUUUCCUAUUUUGAUUAGAAGGGCUUUUAUUUUGAAGGCGGCAUUCUGGUACUCGCCCAGUUCCUGCUUCACGCAACAGUAAAGAUAAACAGUAAAGAUAAACAGUAAGAUGAAAGAACUAAGAAGGAAAAAUGCAAUAUUUUAGCACCCCCCGAAGAGGCACAAGGUUAGCAUUUAGUGUAAUAUUAAUGUGUGGUUAGUUCUUAAAGUAAUUUACGUAACGUUAUAUUACUGUUUGUUUAACUAAUUGAGUUAGCUUUAGCUUAAUACGAGCUAAUGUUAAGCUAUGUAAGGUGGCUAAUAUAUUGUUUGUUUUGUGAUUUGUACCCAGCUCUUACGUUGGUUUUGGGAUUGUCAUUAAACCUAAAAUCAUCAGUUCAAGUGUCAGACCAUCUUUCGGUGGGGUAUGCUACAGUAAGAGCUUCGCCUGUACCUGCUACACCAUGCUGCCUAUGUAAUCCACGAUACGACGGCACGGCACACAGAGCAGCAAUUUGCAGCACUGAACGUUAUGGUCAAAGGAGACGUUAAGGAAUACAACUACGCUCAAAAUGGAUGACAUAAAGGAACAGAUACAAAAGCUACAAACGGAAAUACAGGAAAGUAGGAGCUUACUACAUCAAGAGGAAAAUAAAGACGUGUCAAGGCAGGAAUUAAAGGAGACAAUUGAAAGCAGAGAAAAACGACUAGCUGAGCUUCAACACAAAAUGGAUGACACUGAUGGGUUAACAUUACCACGUCGUUCAGAACGUCCUAGUGUACCCACAGAGAAAAUGCUAGCCUACCAAAAGGAGGAAUUGAGUAAAAAGGAAAAAAGACUGCUCAGCAUGUAUGAACAAUGGAAAAUUCAAAUCAGAAAAUCCAAAGAAAAUUUAAAGAAAGACAUAUCAGAAACAGAAUUGGCUGCAAUGGCAGACACCAUUGAAAAAGGAAAAGAUGGACUCAUGAGAGCUUACAAUGAAAUAAGAGAGCGUGCCACACCAUCUACUGAACUAAGACGCAAAAUAGAUGCAUGUGAGGCUGUAACUAAAGACAUUAUGAAAAUAGUCUAUGAACGCUUAUCAGCAAUAGAUGGCUGUUUUGAUGCAGAGCAUGAAAGACACCAGCUCCAUCAGCUACUAGCCCAUGACUAUGCUUACUCCAUAUAUGGUACUGCCUCUCUGUCAGGUGCCAGUCACCACUCUGAAUCAACAAGCAUAGCUGCAAAAAGGGCUGAUGCAGCCGCAGAGCUAGCUGCAAGGGAGGCUCAAUACAAAGUAAUGCAAGAAGAAAGAAAGCAAAAGGAAAAAAUAAGAAUAAUGGAGGAGAACCAUAGGAAGGAAUUAGACAUGCAGAGGUCUGAAUUAGAGCGUCUACAAGCAGAAAGGGACAUGGAGGCAGCUCGUGCCAGACUGGAUAUCUAUGACAGAGAAAUUAAACAGAGCCCCCCUGUAUACCACCAAAACCCUCACACUGUCGCACCAGCACCCCCUACAGACGUGUCCUAUCUGGCCCAAGCAAUUCAAGACAGCAUAGCCAUAAACAGACUCCCGAUGCCAAUGCCCACAGUGUUUAGUGGAGAUCCAAUCCACUACAUUGAAUGGAAGGCUUCAUUCAAGUCACUUGUAGACAGAAAAGGUAUUUCUUCAGCUGAUAAACUUUAUUACCUGAAGAAGCACGUUAGUGGCCCCGCUCACAAAUGUCUUGAAGGCACCUUUUAUCGAAACGAUGAUGAGGCAUACAGAGAUGCAUGGAAUAAGCUCAACCAACGCUACGGUCAGCCAUUUGUCAUCCAACGAGCUUUCAGAGACAAGCUGGCAAAAUGGCCAAAAAUACAGUCUAAGGAUGCAGAAGGAUUAAGAACAUUCUCAGACUUCCUAAAUGCCUGCCUGCAAGCCAUGCCUCAUGUGAAGGGUCUAGAAAUAUUAAGUGACUGUGAAGAAAACCAAAAGCUGAUACAGAAAGUUCCUGACUGGUUAGCAUCCCGUUGGAAUCGUCAGGUCACAACAGCCCUCAUGGGAGGUAAGGAGUUUCCCACCUUUGAGGAUUUCGCUAACUUUGUCUCAGUAGAAGCAGAGAUAGCAUGCAAUCCAGUCACUUCCCUACAUGCUCUUCACUCUUCUAACUCAUUCCAGGACAAAAGAAACACAAAGGAAGUAAAGGGAAGCAAAGCCAAUGUCUUCAACACUCAAACUGCCAUAAACAGUGUUAAAUCAGUAUCAAGCAGUGGAAAAUCAAGAAUCCCCUGCAUGUGGUGCAAAGAUGACAAGCAUCAACUCCCAAAGUGCGCAGACUUUAUGGAAAAGUCUCUGGAGGAGCGGCGAAAACAUGUGAAGGACAAUAAGCUGUGUUACGGAUGUGUGAAACCCGGUCACACUGCCAAGGAAUGUCGUCACCGCCACACUUGUGAUAUAUGCAAGGGAAGACAUCCUACCUGUCUCCAUGAUGAGAACUACAGAGGACGUGAAGGUAGAGAAGGGCUUGUAGCUAAUGUGAACACAGCUUCAAACACAGUAAACGAAACCACAGCAGCCAUGGCACUCAACGUCACUAGAGGGGGUCAGUCAUGCAGCACUUCCAUGAUCGUCCCUGUAUGGGUGUCCUCUGCUACAAACCCAUCUAAGGAACAGCUUGUCUAUGCAUUAUUAGACACUCAAAGUGACAGCACCUUCAUCGACAAUGGAAUAAGUAAUGAACUACAAACAGAUUCCCACCCGGUGAAACUGAAACUUACCACUAUGCUCGGAGAGAGCAUGAUCAUGAAGAGUCAAAGGGUGGCUGGACUCCGUGUGAGAGGUUACAACUCAUGCUUUCACAUCGACCUUCCUCCUUCAUAUACAAAAGACUGCAUUCCUGGGAACCGUGACCAUAUACCCACUCAUGAAACAGCAAGGAGAUGGCCUCACUUAACAGCAAUCACCGAUAAGGUGCCACCUCUCCUUAGCUGUGAUGUAGGACUCCUAAUUGGAUACAACUGUCCCAGAGCACUAACCCCCAGACAGGUAUUAACAGGAAAAGACAACGAGCCCUAUGCCAUUCUUACAGAUUUGGGGUGGAGCAUUGUUGGCUGCUCAACACCAUGCGUUGAUGAAACAGACUCUAGUCUGUGUCACAGAGUCACAGUAAAGGAACUCCCUCCAGUAACACCGAUGGAUGUGAUAAGUGUCCUGGAGUCGGACUUUAAGGACACUAAAAGAGACGACAAGACUGUCUCACAAGAGGAUCUUCUUUUCCUGAGCAAACUAAAUGAAGGCAUAAGGAAAAAUGACCAGGGACAUUAUGAGAUGCCUCUGCCCUUUAAGCAACGGCCACACUUACCUGACAACAGGAAACUCGCUGAAAUCAGGCUCAGUCAUCUACGACGGAAGUUCUACAGGGAUGAGAAAUAUAAAAGAGACUACACAACAUACAUGAAAGAAAUCAUUGAGAGAGGUGAUGUCGAGGAGGUAUGCGAAGAUGGAACACCCGGUGAACGAUGGUACAUUCCCCAUCAUGGCAUCUACCACCCUAAAAAGCCUGAAAAACUGCGUGUCGUGUUCGACUGUUCUGCAAAGCACGCCGGCACAAGCCUCAACGAACACCUUCUUCCAGGGCCAGACAUGAUAAACAACCUAACGGGCGUCCUCAUACGGUUCAGACAGCAUCCCAUAGCUCUCAUGUGUGACAUAGAGAAAAUGUUUCACCAGUUCCAUGUCCAAGAGGAUGACCGCAACUACCUGCGUUUCCUGUGGUGGAAAGAUGGAGAUACAAACACACAACCUCAGGAAUACCGAAUGAAGGUACAUCUUUUCGGUGCUGUGUCAUCCCCUGGCUGUGCGAACUAUGGCCUGAAAUAUCUAGCCAAGGAAAACAGUCUUUCACAUCCAAUAGGAUCCCAGUUCAUCACCAGAGACUUUUAUGUGGAUGAUGGAGUCACAAGUACAGACACGGUGGAAAGGGCCAUUCAGUUGGCACACGAGGCAAGAGAGAUAUGUGCCAAAGGUGGUCUCCGUCUUCAUAAAUUUGUGUCAAACAACCAUGCUGUUCUACAGAGUGUACCCUCGUCAGAAUGUGCGAUAGAUGCUAAGACAAAGGAUUUGACCUUCAACGUUAUACCACUGGAGCGAGCGCUAGGGAUUCACUGGAGCAUAGAGGGGGAUAGUUUCAGAUUCAACAACACCUUGAAAGACCAACCAGCGACACGUAGAGGCAUACUGUCUACUGUUGCCUCCAUAUAUGACCCCCUCGGCUUCCUUGCGCCUUAUGUUCUCAAAGGAAAGAGGAUCUUACAGGAAAUGUGUCACCAAGGUAUUGGUUGGGAUGACCCCCUACCAGAGAUGCUGAAGCCACGGUGGGAGAGCUGGCGUCACGACUUUGCCAACCUGCAGAAAGUAAACAUAGCUCGAUGUUAUGUACCUGCCAAUUUUGGAGAGGUCAUAGAUACAGAGUUGCAUCACUUUUCAGAUGCGAGCGCCAGUGGAUACGGACAAUGCUCUUAUCUGAGAGUCAGAAACCAAAGAGGAGAGAUUCACUGUUCUCUUGUGAUAGGAAAGGCCCGUGUUUCUCCCACAAAAUUGACUACAAUACCAAGGCUUGAAUUAACUGCAGCAGUGGUUUCAGUCACCAUCAGCAAUAUGCUCAGAGAGGAACUCGGUUAUGCUGAUGGGAAAGAGUACUUCUGGACAGACUCAAAGGUAGUCUUAGGCUACAUAAAUAAUGAUGCACGGCGCUUUCACACCUUUGUCGCCAACCGGGUCCAGAAGAUCCGCCAUAGCACAAGUCCCCAGCAAUGGCUUUAUGUCCCCACAGAUAAGAAUCCAGCGGAUGGCGCAUCCCGGGGAAAAACUGUAAAUGAACUGCUCACAUCCAACUGGUUUACUGGUCCCAUGUUCCUCUGGGAAAAGGAAAUACCUGCACCUAGGGAUGUAAUACUGGACCUAAGCGUAGGAGAUCCAGAAAUCAAAAGGUCACAAACACUGCAAACAAAGACCACAGAACCAGUGAGUCUUGCCGACCGUAUGUCCAAGUUCUCAUCAUGGUCCCGAGCCACCAAGGCUGUGGCCCGCCUUCUGCGACGGGCUAAGAAAAUCAAAUCAUGUGUUCAUUCUACAGUGAGUGAACAGGAAAGUGCUGAACGUGUCAUAAUCCAAGACCUGCAAAGUCAAGCAUAUGAGAAGGAAAUCCAGCUGUUAAACAAAGGAAGUCAACUACCACAUUGCAACAAACUGCACCGCCUUGAUGUUUUUCUAGACACGGACGGUAUCCUCAAGGUUGGGGGAAGACUCCGCCACUCAUCCCUUGCUGACUCAUUCAAACACCCGAUUGUCAUCCCCAAAGAGCAUCAUGUGACAAAACUAAUAAUAGCUCACAACCACGAAAAGACAAAACAUCAAGGAAAAGGCUUCACCACAAAUGAAAUCAGAUCCAAUGGCUAUUGGAUCCCUGGUAUGAGCCGAGCAGUUGCUUCAUACAUUCGUCAGUGUGUGACUUGCCGUAAGCUCAGGAGACCUGCAGAGGGCCAAAGAAUGAGUGACCUACCUACAGAACGAGUAGAGCCCUCCCCACCAUUCACAUAUUGUGGUAUGGACUGUUUUGGUCCUUUUGUUACUACAGAGGGAAGAAAACAGCAUAAGCGAUAUGGCCUGCUCUUUACCUGCUUUUGCUCACGGGCCGUCCACAUCGAGAUGCUAGACGAUAUGUCCACCGAUGCUUUCAUCAACGGCCUGCGAUGCUUCAUUGCUAUUCGAGGUGCAGUCCGUCAAAUCCAGUGCGACCAAGGCACUAACUUUGUUGGCGCAAAGAAUGAAUUCAAGGCAGCUCUGCAGGAGCUCGACACACAGAGGCUCUGUACAUUUCUGUCACAAAAGCAGUGUGACUUUGUCAUGAACGCACCCCACUCCAGUCAUGCAGGCGGCGUGUGGGAGCGCCAGAUAAAGACUGUCAGGAGUGUCCUGAACUCCACUCUAUCACUUUCUCAUGGCAGACUCAACGAUGCCUCAUUACGGACUCUACUUUAUGAAGCCAUGGCUAUAGUCAACAGCCGACCCCUCACCGUGGAUAACUUAAAUAGCCCUGACAGCCUGGAGCCACUCACCCCCAAUCAUCUGAUCAAUAUGAAAUCCAGCAUAGCACUGCCUCCCCCUGGCACAUUCCCCAGAGAGGACUUGUACGGAGCGAAAAGAUGGCGGCGUGUACAAUAUCUGGCAGAGCAGUUUUGGAGUCGCUGGAAACGGGAGUAUCUUCACAACAUCACCACAAGGCAACGAUGGCACAUGCCGAUGAGAAAUAUACAAGUGGGUGAUGUAGUGAUGGACAUUGAUGAACUGUCACCCAGAAGUGAAUGGAGACUCGCAAGAGUCUUAGAGACUGUCAGUGGUAAAGAUGGACUUGUAAGGAGAGUGAAAAUCUCAGUAGGAGAUAAGAGACUGAACAAGAAGGGUGAACGCCUUGGUACACGUUCCAUAUUAGAGCGACCAGUGCAGAAGUUAGUUCUGUUGUUAGAGGCUUCUUAAGCCCAUGACUGUAAGCAAACAUGAUCAUUCCUAAUGUGAAAAUUAUUCAUAGUUCAUAUCAUUUAUUAUGAAACAUUCAUAAUUUUGGUGGGAGUGUAAAUAACCCAAUUUAUGUCUUAGAUCUAAAGAAAAGAUAGCCCUGUUGAACAUCAUUUUGUUACAAUAUGUUUUUAUUACAUAUUUUAUCUGUUUCAGGUUUGUAGUGCCUUAUUUCCUAUUUUGAUUAGAAGGGCUUUUAUUUUGAAGGCGGCAUUCUGGUACUCGCCCAGUUCCUGCUUCACGCAACAGUAAAGAUAAACAGUAAAGAUAAACAGUAAGAUGAAAGAACUAAGAAGGAAAAAUGCAAUAUUUUAGCACCCCCCGAAGAGGCACAAGGUUCAUUACUGAAGUCUGGAGGAUCAACUUUAGACCAGUCAGAUAUCAGAGACUCUGCUCCGUCCUCAUCUUCUGGAGUCUGAGAGGUGUUUUGGUGAUAAAGUGGAAACGUCCAAGCCAGACAUUCACAGUGAUACUGUCUAAGUCUACUCUAAGAUGUUGGAUCUUUAAAUCAAUCAUAAUCAGAAGACAGGAGACUGUGAGUAGCCCAUGAUGGCUGCCAGUUCAGACCAGUUUAAAUAAUAUGACCACCAAAUACUUACUAUGGGUAUAUAUAGUAACUAUUAAUGAAACAAUAUACUUUUAUUUUGCAGUAAAAUCAUCAAAUGUAAAAGGUGGCUCAUGUUACCCCGUUCUCCCCGACUGUCUAAUUGAUGAUUAGAACCAAUCACAAACUUUAUUGACUAUUUCCAAGUUGCUUUUGUAAAUCCC